AUCGCUUUUCAGCCUUUUGGUUAAGAUCAGGCAUAGUAUCUGUUCUUACCAGUUUAAUAUUUGAUACAUACUCUAUCCAAGGAAAAUAUAUUAAAUGGAUAUUUGGAAUUAGGAGAUGGAAUGGGAGCUUGCUCUGUCCACUCCAUGCAUCGACCUGGCAUUGCAAUACUUCCAGGAACCACCCCAGAAAA
Molecule: small nuclear RNA, 191 nt
Organism: Pteronotus mesoamericanus
Lineage: Eukaryota; Metazoa; Chordata; Mammalia; Chiroptera; Mormoopidae
Product: U2 spliceosomal RNA
Exons: 1
Source: RefSeq, a predicted model, not a curated record